CACGAAAGAAAGUAACAGAAGUAUGUAAAUAGGAAGAGAGAGAGAAAGAGGAACCGAGAUGUUGCGGUUUCUAUACGUAAUUUUUAAGAAGCACGCGGUAACGCCGUUGCAAGACGCAGUAAAUGCAUUCCUUACGCGCUGGUUUCGUUGGUUUUUCGCGGACACGAUUAUCGAAGAUACGUACCUCGAACUUGGAUCGUACUAUAGAUCGAUCGUACAAUUACGUUUUUCGCAUAUCACGUGUUAAGAAGAACGAUCGACGCCCGGUGAACAAGCACGCUGCAAUCGACUCGGAAGAUAUCUCCGUGACACCACAGUUCUAGCAUGCUGUCAGUGGUUUCUUUAUUUUCUUUUUUUCUAUAUCCAUUUCCCUCUUUCUUUUUUUAGUUUUAUGGCUUUUAGUCGCGCUUGUUCGUGCAGUUUUUUACUUCUUUGUGACGACUUCGUAGUGAUACGUAAAAACGUUUUAAACGUGAACUAAAUGGAAAACGACGAACUUAUGGAUGGAAGAAACUCGACUCGAGGUGCUCGUUUCUUCGCCGAAGAGGAUACAGAGGUACGCUACGGACUGUAUAGUCGGGUUAAGUUACGUUUUACUCGUUGGUACAUCAACUGGAUAUACUCAUGCGAUCCAACAGUAAAUUAGAAUACGUACAUUAGGAAAAGGAAAUGUACUAAUGAAACGAAAUAUCAGGGAACUUCACGAGCCGCAACAAUAUAUAACGACCUUUAGAUUCUUCUCUGAAGAAUACGUUAUAUUUACGAUAUAACCAGUUUCACUUGUAUGCUUCUUUUCUUUUUGUUAAAGAAAUUCGAAACACGAUGAAUGCUAGUUAUUUGUCAGUAAGAUAUCUUUCGAAAAAUAGCGCUUUUGAAAGUAAUCUCAAUUUAAAUCGAUAAUAUCAUCGAGGCCCUAUCAGAUUUCGCAUCAGUCGCGACAUUAAUGAACACAGUAAUGCUACUUCAUUAUUGUGCAGCGACGUAAUUCGCGUAAUCUCUUCGAUUUCUUUCUUUCCAUUUUUUAUCUUUUUUUUUAUUUUUUAUAAAUAAGUCCGACCGUCCACAAUUUCGUUUUGAAAUUAGCCAACAAAACAUCGAUGCACUGGCGGACAGAUUCUUGUUUGAAAUUCUGAAGAGGAAGCGAGACAAUCGUUUUACACAGGGAAACAGUUGACGACGUUUGCAAUCUAUGUAUAGCAGUCCAACUGAUUUCCUUCUUCCCUUUCCCUCUUGCUCAUUACAAGACGCGUUCUCUGUGUUAACGGUGUGAACGGUUCAUACUCGAAGAGGAAAAAAUGGUGAUACAUGCGAUAAGCAAGAAAGCUAGUUACGAGAAAUGGAGUAGGCUGCGUAUAGUCGAUGGAUGGAAACGCGUAAGUUUGAGGAACGAACUCAAAUUGCACGAUAAGUACUACAAUGCUAAGAGACGUUUAGGUAAGGGAAUUCUAAGACAAUGCACGAAAUGUACAAGUGAUUUCGCUUCGGCCUUCUCGAGCUUAUUAUACUUUGGCAGAUCGAUAUAUUGUUUGACACACGAAUCGUUCAGAAGCCACGUUGAUGUACUCCGUAAAUUAAAAUGCGAUGAUGUUACAAACGCAACUUUGCCAAAUUUACCUAUUUAUAUGGUUUUCUUGCGAUGAAUGAACUUAUGGAAAUCGUUUGUUUUUUGAGAAUUGAAUAUUAAUCGUAUACUUAUAUAAUAUAAUUAGGAAAUUGAUAAAAGGCGGAGUUGAUCAGUCUGGCUUUUGAGAGGCUCGCAUUUGAGACGCGAUUCGCGCGCUUCUUUCGACUCUCGUGGUUAGGAGAGUGAUGAGAACGAAACUUUCUAUAAAACUCAAUUUUCCAAGAACAGACUCGACCCGAAAUUUGAACAACUGUUUCUUUCUCUUCGCGAGUAUCGCUUUCUGUAUACUACAGACAAAUAUGUAGAUACGAAAUGUGUUUUGCAUAUCGUAAGUUUUUUAGAUCGCUCAUCUUACUUUCGACUCGUAACUUGUUCUAUUUUUACGAACGUUAUCGAGUGAUCGUUUUACUUUUUCGAAUUGUGAAUUUUCAAGUACGUAGAAAUUGCGAUUUCUCACUGCCGAAUUCCUAAAGUCAAUAUUGAUACGAAUAGUUUAAUUGAUUGCAUUGUAUCGUGAAACACAUUUACGUAGGCGCUAUAUUGUACGCCACUAUUGUCAAGAGAAUUGGCGCGAAACAAAAUGACGAAUACUACAAAACAAUUGACGCGUUAAUUCUAUUUCAUGCGUGCGAUGAAAAAGUUUUUCCUUUCUCCGAUGGAAAUAAUUGAUGUUUCGUUACGUUACAAUUGCAAUUACAGCACAAAUACGAACGAACAAUAAGAAGAGUAUUUAUAAUGUAAACGGUUUUCACGUGACAUCCAGCGAGUGCUAAUUUUGUUUUCUAUCUUGUUAUAUCUUGUUUCUAUAUAUAGUUUUAUCAUUCUGGCGCGUUUUGUAGUAAAUAAACGAUUAGUAACGAUUUAUUAUUACGCGGUACGAUCGAUGAUAAUUGCGACUGAAUUUACAAAAAGAAUAUGCCAAAUAUUUACAAAUAUUAUCAGUUAUCGAUUAGCAAUGAUAUUUAUAAAGAUAGCUAGUAAGUAACUUUCUUUUCAACUACGAUAUUACGAUACGACGUCACUGCCAAAUUUUUAUUUCUGUGCCGCGAAAAAAUACGAAACUUUUUUAUAUUUAAUUGAUAUGACAAUUAUUAUAUCACGUGAAAACGGUUGACUUGUUAUUGACAGAAAGAAAAAAGACAUGUUGCUACACAUAUUUUCCCAAGACGGUAAUAACUUAAAAGCCAUCUAUGUAUUCUAUCCAGACGAAGGUAUAAUAUCGCAACGAAACGAUAUGAUAUUACUAAAAAAAAAACAAAUUUUGAGAGGAAAUGUAAUCAACAUAAUCAGUGAAAUCUAUACACAACAGAAAUUUAAAGAAAGAGAAAAGAAGUAGGAAAGACAGACAAACAGGUAGAAAGCAAAGAAGUAAAAGUGAGUGUCUUGGAGUAGUGAUAUCUUCAAAAAAGACAAUAGUACAUAAGUUUAAUUAUACGAGUAUGAGUUUAGUUAAGAGUAAACUAUUCCCCUGGCACAGCCAAGUUAGAAGUUGCAUUUUUGCAUAAAAAAAAGGUGAGGAUCUUUAUGCAAAACUAUAAGACAGAAAAAACGUAGUUCAACUAAAUGUUUAUAUAUAUAUAUUUUUGCAUUUGUUUCCAUUAAAAAUUGAUUAUCCUUGUAAAUAGUGCGAUAUGUCUCAGCGUUUCACACACUCCAGAAAAAAAACAAGUAAUUAAAGAAAAUGGAUCAUAUGAGGGUCUCACUUUACCUAAGCUAUAAUGAAGUAUUGUAUAGGAUUAUUACACGCUAGGCCACGUAUUAUAUCUGAAAGAAAAGAAAAAAAAAGAGGAAGAAUUAUUCCAGUUAUCGGACGAGACAACGUCUUUCCGUUUAUCGAAAGCCUAAGUAGUCGACAUAUAUUUUUGAAAAGAAAGAAAAAAAAAGAGAUACAAAAAGACACACUGCAUAUGUUUGGCCUAUUGUAAGAGAGAGAGAGAGAGAGAGAGAGAGAGAGAGUCCCGCGAACACACGAUGACGCGUGAAGCGCCACGAGUGACAAAAGCUCGUAUUAAAAAGUCGGUCAAUAAAGUGUAAGUUUCGUUCAAUUUCCAUGAAAGGAAGAUCGUUACGAUCGAUACGCGCCCAAUCGGAAUUUCUUCCAAUGAAUUCGAACAGUGAGAUAACGAGAGCAAGAAAAGAGAAAAGAUAAAAGAAAAGAACGUGAAUCGAUGUUCGCUAUGUUGUGUAUGAUCAUCGAGAGAUUACGUUGAGAAAACUACGCACGUCCCUGAUACGCAAUGACGCGGCGGCGCCACUCGCAUAUCCAAGCACAAACACGUUCGCGCGCACGCGCUAAAUUGAAACUCGUGCCAAACUGCGCGAAAUUAAAUUAACACGAGAAUCGCUGCGUAGAAAGGCAUGUAUAUCCCGAGCAAUCAUACUUACGUCGGAGUCUCGAAAACGGAUCCAGCGUGAACGAUAGUUGUCGACAAUCAAUCGCAUCCUACACUAUUUUCAUUCUCCGUUCUAGCGCGAUCAUCGAUCGAGCUAUCGAUUCGUGAAUUGGAUCGAUUUCGAGUUUCCUGUGGUGUCUCUGUGUAGGGUAUCCUUGAAUACGCACACGUAACAUAGAAAGGAAAAAGAAAGAAUAAAUUUGCACAUGCAGCAAACAAGGAAGGAAAGAGAAAGAAACCGGAAGGGUGUCGUUCACAGAAUCGAUAUAUUGUAUACUUUUCUGCGCCGUUGUCAUGUGUGUUUUAUGCUUGAGAACUGUUUGAAAGUUUUACGAAUAAUAACGUUUUCGUAGCAUGCGCUAUUGUUAUUUCAUUAAUCGGGGAGGACACUGAUUUGUUACGGUAGAUUCUACAAAGCUUAAAGAAAAAAAAAGAAACGUGUAUUGUUAACCGCUGCUGUUGUGUAUGGAGCCGCACCGUUCGGCUUAGACUGAUGAUAAAAUUCACGUAUGCUCAAUUAGAGAUCAUGUUUGCGCAUAAUUAAGAAUUCUAUUUACAUAUACAUGUUUUAUAUUUGUAAUUAACGAAAAUCAUCUAUACCUAAUAUUACCUGAUAUUAUUAGAUUAUGUAAUCUCCAAAGUAUUUGCUCAUCAAAGUGCUAGGCAUGUUAGACGGACCGAUAUUCGUCCAAAAUGGUACCUUGGAGAUGGACAUACCAUCUAACAGUACGAUAUUUGAUAUUUUACACAAUAAUUAAUAAUUCCGUUGAUUAUUCUAAGACAUAGUCAAUCCUAAUUAUACAAUCAUUAAGAUACGAGGAUAUAUAUAUAUAUAAAUUAACCGUUUUACAUGUAUAUAAUGUACAUAUACGAAACUUAGAUAGACAAGAAAACAAAAGGGAAAAAAAUUGAAAAAGAAAUGAAAUGCAUAAACGAAUUAAAAUAUCAAAUUUAAUAAAAACGAUCGAGAGCUUUCGUAACUAGGUAAAUGUUCGUAUCGACUUUUGAUGUUUUUUCUUCGUAUUCGUUUUUUCUAUUCUUUCCUCUUUUAAAAGAAAGAUAUAACAUACAACGGAAAAAAAGACGAAUAUAAAAGAAAGAAGAAUGAUUCUCUCGCCGACGAUGCUAUUGCGAUUAUACUUACAUGUCGUUGAAUUUUAUAAUACGAGGGCGCUGCGCAGAAACGGCAUGAAGUUGCGACGAAACUCGCGAGUUUACAAUAAAUCGCCGAAAGUGACGUGACGAAUUUUACCGUAACGAACUUAUCCGUUCCAAAUUACCAUUUCCACACAAGAGGCGAAGACUGGUUUAUAAAAUACACGAGCCGUUUUUUGUCAUUUUUUAAUGCUGUUCGGACGACUCGAUUUUAUAUUCGAUUUCAGAUUUCUUAUUCGUUAGAACGAAACACGAAAAACAUUCAUUUACGAUAUUCUUCAAUCUCGAUAAUCGAUUGUUGCGUUUCAUUGCGAAUCGACAGGCGAGAAAUCUCGCGCUCGAAACAAAAAACGAGCGAUCGCUUUGAGAAACUUUUUCGAAUGUACUUUUUCAAAAUUUGCAUAGUUAUAUGAUAACUACCAAACGAGUAACAAAAUCAACAACUUUGAAUCUAUAAAGUAUUCGAUCGAAAUUUAUUUAAACGUUUGCUUUCUUACAAAUGAAAAUAAUAAGAAUCAAUACAAAAUUUAAAGGUUAAAAAAUCUCAAAGUAGGUUUCUUGCGCGUCCAAACAAAAGAAAGAGAAGAAUAUAUCGCGUAUAUCGAGCGAUACUGAUAAACGAUAUAUCGUUAAGCGUAUCAUCAGAUAUAUGUUGCUUCCGUUUGUGUGCCAAUAAAGAAAAAUCGACAUUCUUGAUGUAUAAAUAUAUGAAACUUAAUGAGAACGAUAUUAUUGUUACGCGGGCCGCCAAUACGGCUAAUUUUUUCUGAUCAGAAUUUACGAUGCAAUGUCAUUCUUUGGAGCAAUCAUCGCUGUUCAUAAGUACAACCGAUUAAAAAAAAAAAAAAUUACCGGAGAGGGGAAGAAGGAAUUCUCCGAUGAAAGAGAAAAAAAACGAAGAAAGAAUGGGAGGAAAAAGGAAAUCGUGUAAUAUAAACUAAGCUACCAAGCAACUGGUACGCAUUAAUUACUUGUAUAUAUACAUAGUAUUUUUACAUUCUAAUUCUAAAUUACAUUUCCAAUUCUAAACGGUAUACAUUACUCUGUGAGCUUCGCUUGUCGUCUGUGUAUAUAUCAUCGAUAACGUUUCUAACGUUGAUUCGCCUUAAGGAAAAAUAUUCAUAGAUAAGACGCGAACUGCGAACCUGGCAAUGCUCGACAAAUAUUAUCCCCUCCUUGUGCUUGUUUCACUGCACCCUCUGCACAAGAUUCAAUAACACACGCCUCGUGCCUUCAUCGCACUUAAAUUAAUUAGAAUGUGUAAUAUUAUGGUCGCGCGUGUAAUAUUCCUAAACGUGACUAUUCGCGGGAUAUAUCGUUCGCCAUUCUCUGGAACAUAUUUCAAUGAAUUUCGCGAUUCUCUUAUGAUUGCAUCAACUUGUGCAAUACACCGUGUUUAGCCCAUUCAGUACGAAGCAAUGAAAUAAUGCGUGUAAAAUACGUAAGCGCAAUAUUAUUGCACAAUAACAAAUUUGAAACUCUGAAAAUUCGAAUGUCUUGAAAAUUUAAAAAUAAAAUGUUACAUUAACGCAACGUUCGUCCUUAAUGGGUUAACAUCGAAUGAUUCAUGCUACUGUAUAAUUCAUUUCAUUUUAUUUAAAAUAACAUUUUGAAAGCUCUUGAGAGGCUGCUUUCGUUCAUAACGUAUCCGCGAAUAUUUUCGUACGUGCAUCUCACGCGACCAUAAAUCAUAUAGGAUGACAAGAAGAAUACUCGAUUGUGUACAUCGUAUUACGAUGUAUUCGAUGUUUAUACUCGUAAUUUAACUUCUAUUUAAGCUAUAUGCUCAUAGCGAAUGUGAUCGUAUCUCCCCGAAUAUGAUGUCACGGCGUAUAAAAGCGAAGAGCAACGCUCAUCGAAUACACUUGGAUAAUCUUCGCACGCAUCUUUAAUCGUUAACUUAACACGAUAACAUCGCCUCUCGUGGCUUAACGUUAUCGAGCUUUGCCCCUUUUUUUCCCCUACAGAAGAAGGAACUUCGCCAGAAUUCGUCGUCAUUUUUUUUAUUUGCUUAUUCAUUUCUACACACAGAGACAGAGCGAAGCUCAACAUACUAGUCCUUACUUUAAAACCAAAGUAAAGAGAUAAAACACAAACAUUGUAUAGCUUUUAAGAAUCUCCAUUACGUAUUCACACCUGUGUGUCUAUACAGAGAAGGCAUAAUUAUAACUAAAUAAUUCAGUCAUCGUAACUAGGUAAAUGACUAACCGAUAAGCGAAUAGAUAAAGAAGAAGAUACAAUGUUAAGCCACUCGUUAAGUGUACUGUUUUAUUUUAAUUCAUUUUUUACUACACGAUUAAAAUUUUAUCUAGCAACCUUCGUCGGCUAGGAAUGUAAAUUCUGUAUCUGUACAUUGUUUUCCUAUUUCAACUAUUAAAAGUGAUCGUCAACUUAAA
This is a long non-coding RNA of Bombus pyrosoma, 7568 nucleotides long. RefSeq lists it as uncharacterized. The transcript is spliced from 2 exons. The record is from RefSeq and is a predicted model, not a curated record. Lineage: Eukaryota; Metazoa; Arthropoda; Insecta; Hymenoptera; Apidae.